CCUACGGGAGGCAGCAGUGAGGAAUAUUGGUCAAUGGCCGGGAGGCUGAACCAGCCAAGUCGCGUGAGGGAAGACGGCCCUACGGGUUGUACACCUCUUUUGUCAGGGUGCAAGGUGCAGGUCGGGACCUGCUGUGAGAGUACCUGAAGAAAAAGCAUCGGCUAACUCCGUGCAAUCAGCCGCGGUAAUACGUGGGAUGCGAGCGUUCUCCGGAUUUAUUGGGUUUAACGGGUGCGCAGGCGGAGGCACAAGUCAGCGGUAAAAUCGCGGGGCUCAACCCCGCUCCGCCUUUGAAACUGUGUGCCUUGAGUGCGCGAAGGGUAGGCGGAAUGCGUGGUGCAGCGGUGAAAUGCAUAGAUAUCACGCAGAACUCCGAUCGCGAAGGCAGCCUACCGGCGCGCAACUGACGCUCAUGCACGAAAGCGUGGGUAUCGAACAGGAUUAGAUACCCGAGUAGUC
This 459-nucleotide ribosomal RNA is filed under the name uncultured bacterium. Its description in RNAcentral is "partial 16S ribosomal RNA". It matches the Rfam family "Bacterial small subunit ribosomal RNA", at positions 338 to 795 of the family's 1533-position model. The record is from RNAcentral.